This 902-nucleotide ribosomal RNA is filed under the name uncultured bacterium. Its description in RNAcentral is "bacterial SSU rRNA". It matches the Rfam family "Bacterial small subunit ribosomal RNA", at positions 54 to 946 of the family's 1533-position model. The record is from RNAcentral.
CAUGCAAGUCGAGGGGAAACGACAUCGAAAGCUUGCUUUUGAUGGGCGUCGACCGGCGCACGGGUGAGUAACGCGUAUCCAACCUGCCCACCACUUGGGGAUAACCUUGCGAAAGUAAGACUAAUACCCAAUGACGUCUCUAGAAGACAUCUGAAGGAGAUUAAAGAUUUAUCGGUGAUGGAUGGGGAUGCGUCUGAUUAGCUUGUUGGCGGGGUAACGGCCCACCAAGGCGACGAUCAGUAGGGGUUCUGAGAGGAAGGUCCCCCACAUUGGAACUGAGACACGGUCCAAACUCCUACGGGAGGCAGCAGUGAGGAAUAUUGGUCAAUGGACGAGAGUCUGAACCAGCCAAGUAGCGUGCAGGAUGACGGCCCUAUGGGUUGUAAACUGCUUUUAUAAGGGAAUAAAGUGAGUCUCGUGAGACUUUUUGCAUGUACCUUAUGAAUAAGGACCGGCUAACUCCGUGCCAGCAGCCGCGGUAAUACGGAAGGUCCGGGCGUUAUCCGGAUUUAUUGGGUUUAAAGGGAGCGUAGGCCGGAGAUUAAGCGUGUUGUGAAAUGUAGACGCUCAACGUCUGCACUGCAGCGCGAACUGGUUUCCUUGAGUACGCACAAAGUGGGCGGAAUUCGUGGUGUAGCGGUGAAAUGCUUAGAUAUCACGAAGAACUCCGAUUGCGAAGGCAGCUCACUGGAGCGCAACUGACGCUGAAGCUCGAAAGUGCGGGUAUCGAACAGGAUUAGAUACCCUGGUAGUCCGCACGGUAAACGAUGGAUGCCCGCUGUUGGUCUGAAUAGGUCAGCGGCCAAGCGAAAGCAUUAAGCAUCCCACCUGGGGAGUACGCCGGCAACGGUGAAACUCAAAGGAAUUGACGGGGGCCCGCACAAGCGGAGGGACAUGUGGUU